RNAcentral lists this ribosomal RNA (464 nucleotides) under uncultured bacterium. Its description in RNAcentral is "partial 16S ribosomal RNA". It matches the Rfam family "Bacterial small subunit ribosomal RNA", at positions 338 to 795 of the family's 1533-position model. The record is from RNAcentral.
CCUACGGGUGGCAGCAGUAGGGAAUUUUCGGCAAUGAGGGGAACCCUGACCGAGCAACGCCGCGUGAAGGAAGAAGGAAUUCGUUCUGUAAACUUCUGUUAUAAAGGAAGAAAGACGGAUGGAGGAAAUGACAUCCGAGUGACGGUACUUUAUGAGAAAGCCACGGCUAACUACGAGCCAGCAGCCGCGGUAAUACGUAGGUGGCAAGCGUUAUCCGGAAUUAUUGGGCGUAAAGAGGGAGCAGGCGGCAGCAAAGGUCUGUGGUGAAAUACUGAAGCUUAACUUCAGUAAGCCAUAGAAACCGGGCAGCUAGAGUGAGAGAGAGGAAAGUGGAAUUCCAUGUGAAGCGGUGAAAUGCGUAGAUAUAUGGAGGAACACCAGUGGCGAAGGCGACGAUCUGGCCUGCAACUGACGCUGAGGGCCGAAAGCGUGGGGAGCAAAUAGGAUUAGAUACCCCUGUAGUC